RNAcentral lists this ribosomal RNA (255 nucleotides) under uncultured bacterium. RNAcentral's name for it is "partial 16S ribosomal RNA". It matches the Rfam family "Bacterial small subunit ribosomal RNA", at positions 524 to 776 of the family's 1533-position model. The record is from RNAcentral.
UACGUAGGGUGCGAGCGUUAAUCGGAAUUACUGGGCGUAAAGUGUGCGCAGGCGGCCGAGCAAGUCGAGUGUGAAAGCCCCGAGCUUAACUUGGGAACUGCGCUCGAAAACUACUUGGGCUAGAGUGUGGCAGAGGGAGGUGGAAUUCCACGUGUAGCGGUGAAAUGCGUAGAUAUCUGGAGGAACACCGGUGGCGAAGGCGGCAUCCUGGACCGAUACUGACGCUGAGGAGCGAAAGCCAGGGGAGCAAACGGG